This 497-nucleotide ribosomal RNA is filed under the name uncultured bacterium. RNAcentral's name for it is "partial 16S ribosomal RNA". It matches the Rfam family "Bacterial small subunit ribosomal RNA", at positions 28 to 507 of the family's 1533-position model. The record is from RNAcentral.
GAUGAACGCUGGCGGCGUGCCUAAUACAUGCAAGUCGAGCGAACGGACGAGAAGCUUGCUUCUCUGAUGUUAGCGGCGGACGGGUGAGUAACACGUGGAUAACCUACCUAUAAGACUGGGAUAACUUCGGGAAACCGGAGCUAAUACCGGAUAAUAUUUUGAACCGCAUGGUUCAAAAGUGAAAGACGGUCUUGCUGUCACUUAUAGAUGGAUCCGCGCUGCAUUAGCUAGUUGGUAAGGUAACGGCUUACCAAGGCAACGAUGCAUAGCCGACCUGAGAGAGUGGUAGGCCACACUGGAACUGAGACACGGACCAGACUCCUACGGGAGGCAGCAGUAGGGAAUCUUCCGCAGUGGGCGAAAGCCUGACGGAGCAACGCGGCGUGAGUGAUGAAGGUCUUCGGAUCGUAAAACUCUGUUAUUAGGGAAGAACAUAUGUGUAAGUAACUGUGCACAGCUUGACGGUACCGAAUCAGAAAGCCACGGCUAACUACGUG